GUUAAAACAACGGUUCACGUCCUAUCACCGAAGUUAAGCAACGUCGAACCUAGUCACUACUUUGAUGGGUGAACGCAUGGGAAUACCAGGAUCUGUA
Acanthosepion pharaonis is the source of this 97-nucleotide non-coding RNA. NCBI's taxonomy places the organism in Eukaryota, Metazoa, Mollusca, Cephalopoda, Sepiida, Sepiidae. The record is from the annotation of a GenBank genome assembly.